This 71-nucleotide transfer RNA is filed under the name Loxodonta africana (African savanna elephant). It matches the Rfam family "tRNA". From Rfam's summary of the family: Transfer RNA (tRNA) molecules are approximately 80 nucleotides in length. Their secondary structure includes four short double-helical elements and three loops (D, anti-codon, and T loops). Lineage: Eukaryota; Metazoa; Chordata; Mammalia; Proboscidea; Elephantidae. The record is from Rfam by way of RNAcentral.
GCAUUGGUGGUUUAGUGGUAGAACUCUCACCUUCCACACAGGAGAUCUGGGUUUGAUUCCUGGCCAAGGCU